Molecule: transfer RNA, 72 nt
Filed under: Bos taurus (domestic cattle)
Lineage: Eukaryota; Metazoa; Chordata; Mammalia; Artiodactyla; Bovidae
Also listed under: 1 other name
Rfam family: tRNA
About the family: Transfer RNA (tRNA) molecules are approximately 80 nucleotides in length. Their secondary structure includes four short double-helical elements and three loops (D, anti-codon, and T loops).
Source: Rfam by way of RNAcentral
UCCCUGUUGGCUUAGACAGUAAAGCGUCUGCCUGCAAUGCGGGAGACCCGGGUUUGAUCACUGGAUUGGGAA